RNAcentral lists this ribosomal RNA (393 nucleotides) under uncultured nitrite-oxidizing bacterium. RNAcentral's name for it is "bacterial SSU rRNA". It matches the Rfam family "Bacterial small subunit ribosomal RNA", at positions 521 to 916 of the family's 1533-position model. The record is from RNAcentral.
UAAUACGAAGGUGGCAAGCGUUGUUCGGAUUUACUGGGCGUACAGGGAGCGUAGGCGGUUGGGUAAGCCCUCCGUGAAAUCUCCGGGCCUAACCCGGAAAGUGCGGAGGGGACUGCUCGGCUAGAGGAUGGGAGAGGAGCGCGGAAUUCCCGGUGUAGCGGUGAAAUGCGUAGAGAUCGGGAGGAAGGCCGGUGGCGAAGGCGGCGCUCUGGAACAUUUCUGACGCUGAGGCUCGAAAGCGUGGGGAGCAAACAGGAUUAGAUACCCUGGUAGUCCACGCCUUAAACUAUGAAUACUAAGUGUCGGCGGGUUACCGCCGGUGCCGCAGCUAACGCAGUAAGUAUUCCGCCUGGGAAGUACGGCCGCAAGGUUGAAACUUAAAGGAAUUGACGG